This 2900-nucleotide ribosomal RNA is filed under the name Klebsiella pneumoniae. RNAcentral's name for it is "bacterial LSU rRNA". It matches the Rfam family "Bacterial large subunit ribosomal RNA". Lineage: Bacteria; Pseudomonadati; Pseudomonadota; Gammaproteobacteria; Enterobacterales; Enterobacteriaceae. The record is from RNAcentral.
UUAAGCGACUAAGCGUACACGGUGGAUGCCCUGGCAGUCAGAGGCGAUGAAGGACGUGCUAAUCUGCGAAAAGCGUCGGUAAGGUGAUAUGAACCGUUAUAACCGGCGAUGUCCGAAUGGGGAAACCCAGUGCAAUUCGUUGCACUAUCGUUAACUGAAUACAUAGGUUAACGAGGCGAACCGGGGGAACUGAAACAUCUAAGUACCCCGAGGAAAAGAAAUCAACCGAGAUUCCCCCAGUAGCGGCGAGCGAACGGGGAGCAGCCCAGAGUCUGAAUCAGCUUGUGUGUUAGUGGAACGGUCUGGAAAGUCCGACGGUACAGGGUGAUAGUCCCGUACACCAAAAUGCACAGGCUGUGAACUCGAAGAGUAGGGCGGGACACGUGGUAUCCUGUCUGAAUAUGGGGGGACCAUCCUCCAAGGCUAAAUACUCCUGACUGACCGAUAGUGAACCAGUACCGUGAGGGAAAGGCGAAAAGAACCCCGGCGAGGGGAGUGAAAAAGAACCUGAAACCGUGUACGUACAAGCAGUGGGAGCACCUUCGGGUGUGACUGCGUACCUUUUGUAUAAUGGGUCAGCGACUUAUAUUCUGUAGCAAGGUUAACCGUAUAGGGGAGCCGCAGGGAAACCGAGUCUUAACUGGGCGUUAAGUUGCAGGGUAUAGACCCGAAACCCGGUGAUCUAGCCAUGGGCAGGUUGAAGGUUGGGUAACACUAACUGGAGGACCGAACCGACUAAUGUUGAAAAAUUAGCGGAUGACUUGUGGCUGGGGGUGAAAGGCCAAUCAAACCGGGAGAUAGCUGGUUCUCCCCGAAAGCUAUUUAGGUAGCGCCUCGUGAAUUCAUCUUCGGGGGUAGAGCACUGUUUCGGCUAGGGGGUCAUCCCGACUUACCAACCCGAUGCAAACUACGAAUACCGAAGAAUGUUAUCACGGGAGACACACGGCGGGUGCUAACGUCCGUCGUGAAGAGGGAAACAACCCAGACCGCCAGCUAAGGUCCCAAAGUCAUGGUUAAGUGGGAAACGAUGUGGGAAGGCACAGACAGCCAGGAUGUUGGCUUAGAAGCAGCCAUCAUUUAAAGAAAGCGUAAUAGCUCACUGGUCGAGUCGGCCUGCGCGGAAGAUGUAACGGGGCUAAACCAUGCACCGAAGCUGCGGCAGCGACACUAUGUGUUGUUGGGUAGGGGAGCGUUCUGUAAGCCUGCGAAGGUGUGCUGUGAGGCAUGCUGGAGGUAUCAGAAGUGCGAAUGCUGACAUAAGUAACGAUAAAGCGGGUGAAAAGCCCGCUCGCCGGAAGACCAAGGGUUCCUGUCCAACGUUAAUCGGGGCAGGGUGAGUCGACCCCUAAGGCGAGGCCGAAAGGCGUAGUCGAUGGGAAACAGGUUAAUAUUCCUGUACUUGGUGUUACUGCGAAGGGGGGACGGAGAAGGCUAUGUUAGCCGGGCGACGGUUGUCCCGGUUUAAGCAUGUAGGCUGGUUGUCCAGGCAAAUCCGGAUAAUCAAGGCUGAGGUGUGAUGACGAGGCACUACGGUGCUGAAGUAACAAAUGCCCUGCUUCCAGGAAAAGCCUCUAAGCAUCAGGUAACAUUAAAUCGUACCCCAAACCGACACAGGUGGUCAGGUAGAGAAUACCAAGGCGCUUGAGAGAACUCGGGUGAAGGAACUAGGCAAAAUGGUGCCGUAACUUCGGGAGAAGGCACGCUGGUGUGUAGGUGAAGCCCCUGCGGGUGGAGCUGAGACCAGUCGAAGAUACCAGCUGGCUGCAACUGUUUAUUAAAAACACAGCACUGUGCAAACACGAAAGUGGACGUAUACGGUGUGACGCCUGCCCGGUGCCGGAAGGUUAAUUGAUGGGGUUAUCCGUAAGGAGAAGCUCUUGAUCGAAGCCCCGGUAAACGGCGGCCGUAACUAUAACGGUCCUAAGGUAGCGAAAUUCCUUGUCGGGUAAGUUCCGACCUGCACGAAUGGCGUAAUGAUGGCCAGGCUGUCUCCACCCGAGACUCAGUGAAAUUGAACUCGCUGUGAAGAUGCAGUGUACCCGCGGCAAGACGGAAAGACCCCGUGAACCUUUACUAUAGCUUGACACUGAACAUUGAGCCUUGAUGUGUAGGAUAGGUGGGAGGCUUUGAAGCGUGGACGCCAGUCUGCGUGGAGCCAACCUUGAAAUACCACCCUUUAAUGUUUGAUGUUCUAACGUUGGCCCCUUACCGGGGUUGCGGACAGUGUCUGGUGGGUAGUUUGACUGGGGCGGUCUCCUCCCAAAGCGUAACGGAGGAGCACGAAGGUUAGCUAAUCCUGGUCGGACAUCAGGAGGUUAGUGCAAUGGCAUAAGCUAGCUUGACUGCGAGCGUGACGGCGCGAGCAGGUGCGAAAGCAGGUCAUAGUGAUCCGGUGGUUCUGAAUGGAAGGGCCAUCGCUCAACGGAUAAAAGGUACUCCGGGGAUAACAGGCUGAUACCGCCCAAGAGUUCAUAUCGACGGCGGUGUUUGGCACCUCGAUGUCGGCUCAUCACAUCCUGGGGCUGAAGUAGGUCCCAAGGGUAUGGCUGUUCGCCAUUUAAAGUGGUACGCGAGCUGGGUUUAGAACGUCGUGAGACAGUUCGGUCCCUAUCUGCCGUGGGCGCUGGAGAAUUGAGGGGGGCUGCUCCUAGUACGAGAGGACCGGAGUGGACGCAUCACUGGUGUUCGGGUUGUCAUGCCAAUGGCACUGCCCGGUAGCUAAAUGCGGAAGAGAUAAGUGCUGAAAGCAUCUAAGCACGAAACUUGCCCCGAGAUGAGUUCUCCCUGAGACUUUAAGUCUCCUGAAGGAACGUUGAAGACGACGACGUUGAUAGGCCGGGUGUGUAAGCGCAGCGAUGCGUUGAGCUAACCGGUACUAAUGAACCGUGAGGCUUAACCUU